UACGUGGGGGGCUAGCGUUGUCCGGAAUCAUUGGGCGUAAAGAGCGCGUAGGCGGCUGGAAUAGUCCGGUGUGAAAUCCACAGGCUUAACCUGUGAAUGCCGCUGGAAACUGUCUGGCUAGAGUCCGGAAGGGGCGAGUGGAAUUCCUGGUGUAGCGGUGAAAUGCGCAGAUAUCAGGAGGAACACCAAUGGCGAAGGCAGCUCGCUGGGACGGUACUGACGCUGAGGCGCGAAAGCGUGGGGAGCGAACAGG
RNAcentral lists this ribosomal RNA (253 nucleotides) under uncultured bacterium. Its description in RNAcentral is "partial 16S ribosomal RNA". It matches the Rfam family "Bacterial small subunit ribosomal RNA", at positions 524 to 776 of the family's 1533-position model. The record is from RNAcentral.